RNAcentral lists this ribosomal RNA (460 nucleotides) under uncultured bacterium. Its description in RNAcentral is "partial 16S ribosomal RNA". It matches the Rfam family "Bacterial small subunit ribosomal RNA", at positions 338 to 795 of the family's 1533-position model. The record is from RNAcentral.
CCUACGGGAGGCAGCAGUGAGGAAUAUUGGUCAAUGGACGAGAGUCUGAACCAGCCAAGUAGCGUGAAGGAUGACUGCCCUAUGGGUUGUAAACUUCUUUUAUAAAGGAAUAAAACGAGGCACGUGUGCCUUUUUGCAUGUACUUUAUGAAUAAGGAUCGGCUAACUCCGUGCCAUCAGCCGCGGUAAUUCGGAGGAUACGACCGUUAUCCGGAUUUAUUGGGUUUAAAGGGAGCGUAGAUGGGUUGUUAAGUCAGUUGUGAAAGUUUGCGGCUCAACCGUAAAAUUGCAAUUGAUACUGGCAGUCUUGAGUACAGUUGAGGUAGGCGGAAUGCGUGGUGUAGCGGUGAAAUGCUUAGAUAUCACGAAGAACCCCGAUUGCGAAGGCAGCUUACUAAGCUGUGACUGACAUUGAUGCUCGAAAGUGUGGGUAUCAAACAGGAUUAGAUACCCUAGUAGUC